This 911-nucleotide unclassified non-coding RNA is filed under the name Hevea brasiliensis (rubber tree). The record is from RNAcentral. Lineage: Eukaryota; Viridiplantae; Streptophyta; Magnoliopsida; Malpighiales; Euphorbiaceae.
CACUUUUAUACCUUCCAUUGCUCACUAUCUGCAGUGUGUCGCCAAUAUUGAUGACCAAAGCACCAGGGAUUGGUGGGAUCUCCAUCCACUCACCCUUUUUCUGGCCAUUAAUGUUUUCUUCCACUUUUACAUAUAGUCCACCAAUACCAUCUUGCAACAACACAGUAAUUGUACCCAAAUCUGAAUGACGACCCACGCCAACAGUGAGCUCAGGAUUUGGACAUGCUGGGUAGAAGUUCAUGUUAACUGUCUUCAAGCCAGUUAAGGCAUCCAUUUUUGCAUCAUCUAGUGUCACUCCAAGGUUCCCCAUCAAAACUUCAAGUAGUUUUCUCACCAUCUUGAUUGAUGUUCUUAGAUACUUAAGAGCGACUUCCUUGCAUUCCUUAGGCCAAAAUUCAAGUGCUUCAGUAUCGUUAGUGUAGAUCAUGUUAACAUAAUCUUUCCACUCUAAUGUCUUCUCUUUCUCUGGAGAAAAACUCGUCCCAUACUUCACCAAUGGGCCUUUGCGAUAGGUAGCCUUCUUUUCAGGUGGUUGGCCGAAGAAAUUGUGGGCUGCGUCUUUCAGAGACUCCAGCAGCUCUACGGGCACGCCAUGGUUCACUACCUGAAAGAAGCCUAAAUUCUCAGCGGCUUUAACAAUCUCCUGCACAACUUGGUCAUGAUGAGGACCAUCAAGCUUGGACAAGUCGAUUGGUGGGUUAUCAUUUAAUGUGGCAUUGGACUUGUCUAUUCUUUCUCGUUGGGGUUGCACAUAUUGUUGUGGAACCUUGGUUAGGCCUGAGUCCACCAAGCCCUUUACACCAUUGCCGUCUCGGACGACAAAAUUGAACAAUGAGUCUGAAUCAGAAGAACUUGGAGCUGCUGGAGCCAUUGUAUGGGUAAUUAAGAUAAGUGGGGAAAUCACUUUUCUC